UACGUAGGGUGCGAGCGUCAAUCGGAAUUACUGGGCGUAAAGCGUGCGCAGGCGGUUUUUAAGACAGGCGUGAAAUCCCCGGGCUUAACCUGGGAACGGCGCUUGUGACUGGAAGGCUAGAGUACGGCAGAGGGGGGUGGAAUUCCACGUGUAGCAGUGAAAUGCGUAGAGAUGUGGAGGAACACCGAUGGCGAAGGCAGCCCCCUGGGCCGAUACUGACGCUCAUGCACGAAAGCGUGGGGAGCAAACAGG
Molecule: ribosomal RNA, 252 nt
Filed under: uncultured bacterium
Lineage: Bacteria
Description: partial 16S ribosomal RNA
Rfam family: Bacterial small subunit ribosomal RNA
Source: RNAcentral